RNAcentral lists this ribosomal RNA (348 nucleotides) under Isochrysis galbana. RNAcentral describes it as "partial Bacterial small subunit ribosomal RNA". It matches the Rfam family "Bacterial small subunit ribosomal RNA", at positions 410 to 773 of the family's 1533-position model. Lineage: Eukaryota; Haptophyta; Isochrysidales; Isochrysidaceae. The record is from RNAcentral.
GAAGUAUCUUGGUAUGUAAACCUCUUUUCUCAAGAAAGAAGUUCUGACGGUACUUGAGGAAUAAGCAUCGGCUAACUCCGUGCCAGCAGCCGCGGUAAUACGGAGGGUGCAAGCGUUAAUCGGAAUUACUGGGCGUAAAGCGCGCGUAGGCGGCUUUGUAAGUCGGAUGUGAAAGCCCUGGGCUCAACCUGGGAACUGCAUUCGAUACUGCCAAGCUAGAAUAUGGGAGAGGGAAGUGGAAUUUCCGGUGUAGCGGUGAAAUGCGUAGAUAUCGGAAGGAACACCAGUGGCGAAGGCGGCUUCCUGGCCCAAUAUUGACGCUGAGGUGCGAAAGCGUGGGGAGCAAAC